Molecule: transfer RNA, 57 nt
Filed under: Capra hircus (goat)
Lineage: Eukaryota; Metazoa; Chordata; Mammalia; Artiodactyla; Bovidae
Also listed under: 1 other name
Rfam family: tRNA
About the family: Transfer RNA (tRNA) molecules are approximately 80 nucleotides in length. Their secondary structure includes four short double-helical elements and three loops (D, anti-codon, and T loops).
Source: Rfam by way of RNAcentral
UAACUCAGCUGGUAAAGAAUCUGCCUGCAAUGCAGGAGACCCAGGUUCGAUUCCUGG